AUCUUGAACAAAGUUUCAACUUCAGUCUUCUUGAGGAUUAAAGAGUUUGAAUCUAAAACCACCACAACAAUUACUGCAUAUUGACAGAGCACUUAUAAAGCCAUCGACGAAGUCAGACUGUUUCAGUCUCUUCACGAGGAUUACAAAACCUAAUGUUUGUAGCUAUUGGCCCUUCUACAAUGCCCUCCUUUGGCUCUUCAUCUGUGUCGAUGCAGGCUGGCAGUGCUGUUGGUCCACCUCCUGCUUCAUCGAGCUUAUCAUCUCCUCUGGGGUUAUGGGACUGGGAAAAAAACAUAAUAUCACCAGAGGGUGGCAGUAUCCUCAAUAAUUGACCUUGUGCUGAAGCUAAAGGUAUAUGUCUAAUGUAAAUCAACAAACUUUAGCUCUUUGGAAAAGACAUCAAAUCUUGAUGUAUAUAUGUUUUCCAUUGACCUCAUUUGUAAGUCGCUUUGGAUAAAAGCAUCUGCUAAAUGACUAAAUGUAAAUAUAAAUUGGUCCAAAUAUAUUAAAUAUCUUAAUUUCUAACUUUGGCCUGUAGUGUAUGCUGUAACUAAAUCAACUUAAUUUAGCUCUAUUUGGACAAGAUUUAAAAUCUUGCUGUAUUUUUAUAGAUCCAAAUAUAUGAAAUAUUGAUAUAAAUACACUACCGUUCAAAUAUUUUUAAAUGUUUUAAAAGAAGUCUCUCAUGCUCACAAUUUAUUUUUUAUCAAAAAUACAGUUAAAACAGUAAUAUUGUGAAAUAUUAUUACAUUUUAAAAGAACUAUUUCUAUUUAAAUUUAUUUCACAAUUUAAUUUAAUUAUUUGUUGGCAAAGCUGUAUUUUCAGCUGCCAUUACUCCAGUGUCACAUAACACUUCAGAAAUUCUAAUAUGCUAAUUUUCUACUAACUAUUAUUAAUGUUGAAAACAGUUGUGCUUGCUAAUAUUUUCUUUUUUGUAUCUUUGUUCAAUUUAAUGCAUCCUUGCAGGGUUAAAGUCUUAGUAUUAGUAGUUAUUUAUUUUUAUUGCCAUGACAGCAUCUAAGGUUAUCGUCACAACAAUAACUUAGUUGAAAUAAUACAAGAGUUACAUAAAUUCAUAAUGAAAAACAAAAUACAGCAGUUAAAAUGAUACAAGAUUUUUUUUUUUAUUGAGUAAAAUAAUUAAUUAAUUUCUAAAAUAAAUCUUACUGACCCAACAGUAGUGUUUCAUUAGUUUCAUCAUGGGAUUUCCAUUAAGCUAUUGACCUAAAAUCAGUUUUUACCUCAUCCUCAUCUUGGCCAG
Long non-coding RNA from Cyprinus carpio carpio, 1262 nucleotides. The record is from Ensembl. Lineage: Eukaryota; Metazoa; Chordata; Actinopteri; Cypriniformes; Cyprinidae.